Molecule: long non-coding RNA, 432 nt
Organism: Rhincodon typus (whale shark)
Lineage: Eukaryota; Metazoa; Chordata; Chondrichthyes; Orectolobiformes; Rhincodontidae
Exons: 3
Source: RefSeq, a predicted model, not a curated record
ACUCACUUCCAGGGAAGGUGGGACUUGAACAAAGACUUUUUGGACUCGUAGAAGGGACACUAUCACAGCACCACAAGAGCCCCUGAGCCUUACAAGCUUUUUUUUUUACAAUUGCAUGGAGAAAUAAAAUAACAUGGUCAGAGAAGUGUAUCAAACAAACACAACUAACAAAAGAAAUUGAAACCAAUGUGAGAGGGCAUUGGCCUAAGCAUCCACAAACAGUGUAAGAGGGGAACAGCCUGAGACCUCAAAAACUGCCUGACAGGGGAACAGACCAAGAUCAAGACCAAGAGAGGAGCACCCAAGCAAUGCAAACAGUUCACUAGUUGGCCUAUCCUUGGCUGAAGCCCAGGAAGAGUGGCAACCUGGAGAGAUCAAGUAUCCAAGGAUGAACCCGGGCAGAGAGAGAGCAGGAGCUGAGACAGAGGGGAC